Molecule: ribosomal RNA, 492 nt
Filed under: uncultured bacterium
Lineage: Bacteria
Description: partial 16S ribosomal RNA
Rfam family: Bacterial small subunit ribosomal RNA
Source: RNAcentral
AGUGAACGCUGGCGGUAGGCCUAACACGUGCAAGUCGAACGGCAGCACAGUAAGAGCUUGCUCUUACGGGUGGCGAGUGGCGGACGGGUGAGGAAUACAUCGGAAUCUACUUUUUCGUGGGGGAUAACGUAGGGAAACUUACGCUAAUACCGCAUACGACCUACGGGUGAAAGCAGGGGAUCUUCGGACCUUGCGCGAUUGAAUGAGCCGAUGUCGGAUUAGCUAGUUGGCGGGGUAAAGGCCCACCAAGGCGACGAUCCGUAGCUGGUCUGAGAGGAUGAUUAGCCACACUGGAACUGAGACACGGUCCAGACUCCUACGGGAGGCAGCAGUGGGGAAUAUUGGACAAUGGGCGCAAGCCUGAUCCAGCCAUACCGCGUGGGUGAAGAAGGCCUUCGGGUUGUAAAGCCCUUUUGUUGGGAAAGAAAAGCAGCAGGUUAAUACCCCGCUGUUCUGACGGUACCCAAAGAAUAAGCACCGGCUAACUUCGUG